Molecule: ribosomal RNA, 849 nt
Filed under: Triticum aestivum (bread wheat)
Lineage: Eukaryota; Viridiplantae; Streptophyta; Magnoliopsida; Poales; Poaceae
Description: partial small subunit ribosomal RNA
Source: RNAcentral
AUGAAAAUCUUGCUGUGGAGAUUUGCUCAUAAUUGUUUGCCAUCGGGAGAUCAACUGCAGCGACGCCAUGUCCCAACGAGGAUGGAUUGUGUGUUCUGUGGCCGGGCUGAAGGUAUUGAGCAUGCGUUGCUCUUUUGUGUCCAUGCAAGAUUAGUCUGGGAGGAGAAGGAUGUAUUUGGUCUCAAGCUGCGUCGCUCCUCUUUCACCUCUCCAAAGAAGUGGAUUUUGGAUCUGAUUGGCUGGAGUUCCAACAGGGACAUCUCUGUCAUCACGGUCACAUUAUGGCACAUCUGGGAAGCCUGUAAUGCUGCUCGCAACGAACCGGAUCCCCCUCAUCCAAAGCGGACUGCUGCGAGGUCGAGAGCUUAUGUGGAUAUGAUCUUCCAGCACCUCUUCAAGCCUGCUGCUGCCUCUAGGCGUGAAUCUUCGGGUGCUUCUUCUGCGGCGGGCGUGGUGGUACAGGAUCAUUCUGGCGAGUGUGUGGCGGCUGCUUCCGAACCUUUGCCUGGUGUCUCAUCCCUAGAGUUGGCUGAGGCCUUUGCACUCCGGCGGGCGGUGCGGCUGGCGGGCGAGCAGAAAUAUGGCCGAGUGAUCUUUCAGUCUGACUGCCUCUCGGUGGUUCAAAGGAUUCAGUCUUCGAUCCAGGACCGUUCCAUGGUGGGUUCGAUCAUCGCUGAUAUCAAGAUGGCCUGUCGAUCUUUGUCUUCGGUCUCUUUUAUGCAUGUUCGUCGGCAUUAUAAUAUUUUAGCUCAUGUUCUAGCUAGAUCUAGUCUGAACUCUGUGAGUCCUUGUGUUUUUCAUUCUGCUUCGGAUUGCAUCCGGGAGAAUCUGUGUAAUCUGUUUGCUUGA